GCCAGUCAGCCCCUCCGCCCAAAGGUUAGUCGACCUACUGGUGCCGCGGAGUCGAGUCGCGCCGCCCGCUCCCUCCCGCGCUCACUGUUUCUGAGGCUCGCCGCGUCCAGAGUGCUGCUGUAGUAUCUCGCUGUGAUGCCUAGGGUGUGAGGCGCCACCCAGAGACUCGUGUGUUCUGAGCGUGGCACGUACGCCGCCCCCCGUGACUCCCCAGGUCUCGGCGGUGCGGGAGUGGUGGAGGCGGCGGAGUGUCACGUGAUUUUAGUAAGUCACCAAAACAAAACACAAACGCACUGGGAAUCUCUAAACUUGUGCCGGACGUGUUGUAGUGCGCGUGUGUGUGUGUCUGUGUGCGUGUGCCGGUGGUGAGUCAGUGGUGAGCCAGUGCUGCGUAGUGCUGGUUCCCUGUGCUACCUGUGCUAACAUCUGUCACCUCAAGAAAAAGUAAACAGGAAAGGCGGAAGCUUGUCACCACCUCCUCCUGCUGCUCCUCACCUCACCAUCACCAGAAGGGCUACGCAGCAUCACCAUCGCCAGCAUCACCACCACCACCAUCAGCACCCAGGGAGGAAUAGUGCAGCACUCAGCACCGCCCCCACACCACCUCAGACGCCACCAUGCCGCCCGGCAAACACCUGAGGAAACCUGUGUGUUCGGAGUACAUUCGAAGACACAGUUUCCAGUCCCAAGGAUUCUUCGCUGAGCUUGGACCAUCGCAAUCAAUGACGUCAUCAGGUGAGCGUUUGUGUCUCCUGCUCUUUUUUUAUUUUUUCUCUAAUAAACGAAAAGCUUUUGCAUUUUAGAAAUAUUUAUUUCUUGCAAUCUUACUUUAGCCUUUUUUUCGAAUAAUCACGCAUGUUUGUUGAUAUAUAAUAGUGCCGAGAACAGCUUGGCAUUGUUCUUGACUAAAAUUGACCGAAUGGAUGAAUUACGUAUCAGAAAGGUUAGACAAAUCUAGAAAAUUGAUUUAAAAAUGCCAUCGACACCCACCAAUGAUCAGCAUCUGCUUUAAAAAUCAAAUAAAGUUCAUCAGUAAUGGCAGUCACAGCAAAAGUCCUGUUUGAAUAAGAAACAAGUCACAGGAUGCUGAAGAAACUCAUCGGACAGAAUGACACCACCACACAGGCCACCAUACACAAUCACCUCAACACCUUGCCUCAAAUCCAACACCGCGAUGAUCCCAGGCAAGGUAGACA
Molecule: long non-coding RNA, 1196 nt
Organism: Scylla paramamosain (green mud crab)
Lineage: Eukaryota; Metazoa; Arthropoda; Malacostraca; Decapoda; Portunidae
Exons: 3
Source: RefSeq, a predicted model, not a curated record